GAUGAACGCUGGCGGCGUGCCUAACACAUGCAAGUCGAGCGAUUUACUUCGGUAAAGAGCGGCGGACGGGUGAGUAACGCGUGGGUAACCUGCCCUGUACACACGGAUAACAUACCGAAAGGUAUGCUAAUACGGGAUAAUAUGCUUUAGUCGCACGGCUGAAGUAUCAAAGCUCCGGCGGUACAGGAUGGACCCGCGUCUGAUUAGCUAGUUGGUAAGGUAACGGCUUACCAAGGCGACGAUCAGUAGCCGACCUGAGAGGGUGAGCGGCCACAUUGGAACUGAGACACGGUCCAAACUCCUACGGGAGGCAGCAGUGGGGAAUAUUGCACAAUGGGCGAAAGCCUGAUGCAGCAACGCCGCGUGAGCGAUGAAGGCCUUCGGGUCGUAAAGCUCUGUCCUCAAGGAAGAUAAUGACGGUACUUGAGGAGGAAGCCCCGGCUAACUACGUGCCAGCCGCCGCAGUAA
RNAcentral lists this ribosomal RNA (468 nucleotides) under uncultured bacterium. RNAcentral's name for it is "partial 16S ribosomal RNA". It matches the Rfam family "Bacterial small subunit ribosomal RNA", at positions 28 to 523 of the family's 1533-position model. The record is from RNAcentral.